AAAAGCGGCAGGUACUGUAAUCGUUGUAACAGACUUAACAGAAAUCAGUGAACCUUAAAUGUAGGUGUACAUACGGAUCAUACGGAUCGAUACGGAUAUAAUCAUUAUCGAUCAUUAUAUCUCAUAUAGCUGUAUGGCUGUAAUGUUCUAAGUUUGUAAUUUUCCUCCUUGCGAAGCAAAUUCUCAUUUUAUGUAAUCACAAUGUAAAAGAACCUAUUGCAAAAGGAAGAAGAAUUCAACAAAUUAAAUGCAGAACUAGAAUUGAAAACAUAGGAACUAUAUUACUAAAAGAGUUUGAAGGCAUAAUGAAAAAUCAGGAGAGAUUUUCAAAGAACGAGAAUUUCACAUGCAAAAAUGAUCAGCUUCCAGCAAGAUCCAGGCACGGCUUUUAUCUUACUUCAGCUACUGAAUUUAAAUUAUUGAGGUCUUUGUCACAGAUUCUGUUUUUGUUGGCAGUUGUAACACACUGUGUCACUGAAUGAGUCUAGACAAAAGUCAGAUAUCAGUUCCCAUAUAAUUAGCAGUGCCAGAAGUGUCAGAACUGAACCUCCACACUUAAACAAGGUGGAUUCAGUGAGCAGUGUUUAUAUCCCUCACCAUGAAAGAACUGAAGAUGAAAUUCUUCCUGAGGCAAGUUAUGGAAUGGGGGCAGAGAACAUUAUUCUUGUCCUCAGAUCCAAAAUAAAAGGCUUACGGAGCAAGAUGGAAGCAUCGCAUGUUGACCAUAUAAAGAGUGGAAGACUGAGAGAGAAAUGACAGCACAGCAGAGAAACCAUACUUCAUGUCAAAAAACCUGAAGAAAAUUCUUCAUAAAAAGAACAAAUGAAGUUGCGAGAAUGAUAAGCAUACUGCGCUAACUUAGAGAUGUACUUUGGCAUUUUUGAUAUAUUUAUAGAUGUUUACAAUAAUUUCUUUACUAGUCUUCUUCCAUUCUGUUAUGUUUACAUGUUCAGAUGUCACUUGUCAGAAUGUGAUAACCAAUUGUAUGUAACAGACAAUUGCCUACACUCUCAGACAUUAACGCUUUGAAGCCUGAAAUUAACCUAUUCACAGCCGCAAGCGCAUGUACAUACGUGGUGUUAUGAAACUGUCACCAAGAGUGUAUAAAAGUACAAAGGUUACAUCCACACGUUAGUAUUUUAUCUAAAUGGCAACUGUUCAUUUGCUCUACCAUGGCCUUUUGCAAUAACAAGUUACUGUAUACUGAUAUCUGAUUGAGAAAUUUUUGAUCAGUAUCAUUGCGGAUGUGGGGUAAUUUUUGAAAAUUCAGUUCCUCCCUUAGGAAAACCAGUAUGCCUGUGCUACAAAGACGUCUCAGGAAGUAAUUACACUCUGAGAAUCAUAUGAAAUGAAAUGCAGUUUAGUUAAUAUUGAACCACGUGUUACAUAUAGUAACUGCUGUACUUUUAAGGGUUGCUGUCUGUUUGUUAGUUAUGUUGAAGCUGUCAAUCUUAAGAUUUCAAAUAUAAGCUGUUUUAUAAUUUGCAACAGUUUUGCCACAAUUCAUGCCUUCAGAUUUAGAACUGUGUUAUUUUAAGGAUGAUGUUAAGAGGAUUAGAAUAAUGAGAAAGCUUGAAAUAUAUCUCAAGCUCUGCUUAUUUUGAAUCAUUUGGUUUCCACGGUUAACUUUAUUUUAUGACUAUUUUAAUUAACUACGAAACUCCAUUGGUAGUUAAUUAAAAUAGUCAUAAAAUAAAGUUGACUGUUCUCUUCCCUGGACUUGACACACACAGACUGGAGUGGAAAGGCCAGACAGCUGCCUGCAUCUGGCUGUUCCUGCUUAUUAAAUGCUUACAAUUAAUCAGGAGGAUGAACUUAUCAUUAAAACUAUACAAGAUUAUGCCUAAUUUAACACCAGAAAAUAGAGGCUUAAUUUUUUCAUGAUGUCUUCCAAUGGAUGCAAGUAUUUUGAUAUCCAGUCCGCAACAAUUUAAAAAAAAAAUAGUAAUUGCAAAUUAAAGAAAUAAUGCGAUAAAUAAUACAUUUAAAGUAUGUCCAUUGAUCAAAAUGCAGUGUCAUUACAUUUGAAAAUAAAGGAAGCCUCAUCAAUUUCAUCUGCAGCAAAACCAUCAAGCAGCAUGGUCUCGACUUCUUGAGCAGCAGACAUGCGUCUUCUUUUUCCACCGCACGUCUUCAUAGUGGUGAACACAGAAAAAUGGGGCCUCUUAUUUGCCCUCCUGCCUGAUGGUGACGCUGCUUCUGGGGCCAGCUGUGCAUUUGCAGUCAGAAGGCUUUGUAGAUUUCCCAGUCCUGGAUUAAUCAUCUGUUUACAGCCAUCUGUCCCAAAUAUGUCAAGGACCUGCAAUCACAUACAGUACAAUCAGAAAUAUGUACAUUUCCUAGUUGCAUGAGGCCUGAACUAUUUCCACAUCUAAAACUCAAAAGAGUUAUAACAAGUUGCUUGACACGAUGGAUGUCAUGGAGACUACAGCGACAAUGUCACAAAAACAAGAAGCUGAGAUUUUUGUUUGUAUAUAUACUGUUAUUGCAAGUAAUACAAUAAAAUACAACUUUCUAGCCUGGAGACCAAAAUUCUACCGUGUCAUGAAAUGUCCCUUCGAAAGGCUUUUCUGGUUUAAAUCUGUGCCGCCAUAUAAGCUCAGGGAAGCAGGGGAAAGAAAUGCUGAGUUUUGCUUUUCACUAAAUGUGCUCCUGUAGUUGGAUCAACAGAUGAAUGAAAUGGUUGGCAUGAAUAUGUUCAUACCAUUAUUCAGACAGAUUGUUAUAGCCCCUGUCAUCAGGCUGAUAUUACUGUCCUUGCAGAGCACAUAUAUCUCUGCAUCAUAGAUAUUAAUGUUUGUCCAGUGUGACUUGCGGCUGCGAAAAGAAAGUCUUCCUUAAUUUAACAGCAACACCACUAGACUCUGUCCUUACUGAUACAGGCCUGCAGAACCAUGACAA
Molecule: RNA transcript, 2901 nt
Organism: Cryptotermes secundus
Lineage: Eukaryota; Metazoa; Arthropoda; Insecta; Blattodea; Kalotermitidae
Exons: 4
Source: RefSeq, a predicted model, not a curated record